Molecule: ribosomal RNA, 441 nt
Filed under: uncultured bacterium
Lineage: Bacteria
Description: bacterial SSU rRNA
Rfam family: Bacterial small subunit ribosomal RNA
Source: RNAcentral
CCUACGGGAGGCAGCAGUGGGGAAUCUUGCGCAAUGGGCGAAAGCCUGACGCAGCAACGCCGCGUGCGGGAUGAAGGCCUUCGGGUUGUAAACCGCUUUUACCAGGAACGAAAAUGACGGUACCUGGAGAAUAAGGUGCGGCCAACUACGUGCCAGCAGCCGCGGUGACACGUAGGCACCAAGCGUUGUCCGGAUUUAUUGGGCGUAAAGAGCUCGUAGGCGGUUCAGAAAGUCGGGUGUGAAAACUCUGGGCUUAACCCAGAGACGCCACUCGAUACUACUGUGACUAGAGUUCGGUAGGGGAGCAGGGAAUUCCUGGUGUAGCGGUGAAAUGCGCAGAUAUCAGGAGGAACACCGAUGGCGAAGGCACUGCUCUGGGCCGAAACUGACGCUGAGGAGCGAAAGCGUGGGUAGCAAACAGGAUUAGAUACCCUAGUAGUC